CCCCGAUGAGGAAACCCCUCCGCGUCUGACCCCCCCCCGGCCACCAGGACCUGCCCAAGGUCGAACCCACUGGUGCUGGCGGGGGGAGGGGAGGAGGAUGCUGCGUCCCGAUGGACGGUCUGAGGGGG
Molecule: small nucleolar RNA, 128 nt
Organism: Strigops habroptila (Kakapo)
Lineage: Eukaryota; Metazoa; Chordata; Aves; Psittaciformes; Psittacidae
Gene: SNORD22
Rfam family: Small nucleolar RNA SNORD22
About the family: U22 is a member of the C/D class of snoRNA which contain the C (UGAUGA) and D (CUGA) box motifs. U22 is encoded within the U22 snoRNA host gene (UHG) in mammals and has also been identified in Xenopus.
Source: Ensembl